This 757-nucleotide ribosomal RNA is filed under the name uncultured bacterium. RNAcentral describes it as "bacterial SSU rRNA". It matches the Rfam family "Bacterial small subunit ribosomal RNA", at positions 8 to 784 of the family's 1533-position model. The record is from RNAcentral.
AGAGUUUGAUCCUGGCUCAGAACGAACGCUGGCGGUAUGCUUAACACAUGCAAGUCGAACGAGAAAGUCUCUUCGGAGAUGAGUAGAGUGGCGCACGGGUGAGUAACACGUAGAUAACCUGCCCUAUAGUCUGGGACAACCCUUCGAAAGGAGGGCUAAUACUGGAUAACACAUUUUAUCGAGUGGUAGAAUGUUGAAAGAUUUAUCGCUAUGGGAUGGGUCUGCGUACCAUUAGCUAGUUGGUGGGGUAAUGGCCUACCAAGGCAUCGAUGGUUAGCGGGUCUGAGAGGAUGAUCCGCCACACUGGAACUGAGACACGGUCCAGACUCCUACGGGAGGCAGCAGUGGGGAAUUUUGCGCAAUGGGCGAAAGCCUGACGCAGCAAUACCGCGUGAGUGAAGAAGGCCUUUGGGUCGUAAAGCUCUUUUCUAGGGGAAGAUAGUGACGGUACCUUAGGAAUAAGCACCGGCUAACUCCGUGCCAGCAGCCGCGGUAAUACGGAGGGUGCGAGCGUUGUUCGGAUUUACUGGGCGUAAAGGGCACGUAGGCGGCAUAGCAAGUUAAGGGUGAAAUCCCGGGGCUCAACUCCGGAACUGCUCUUAAAACUGCUAAGCUAGAGAUAGUCAGAGGCGGGUGGAAUUCCUGGUGUAGAGGUGAAAUUCGUAGAUAUCAGGAGGAACACCGGUGGCGAAGGCGGCCCGCUGGGGCUAUUCUGACGCUAAGGUGCGAAAGCGUGGGGAGCGAACGGGAUUAGAUA